RNAcentral lists this long non-coding RNA (2510 nucleotides) under Macaca fascicularis (crab-eating macaque). RNAcentral's name for it is "long intergenic non-protein coding RNA 1149". Lineage: Eukaryota; Metazoa; Chordata; Mammalia; Primates; Cercopithecidae. The record is from RNAcentral.
GGAUUCCAGGGCUGCUCAGAAGGAACCUCCAUCCCCGAGUGGAUGACCUCAGGAUCAGCACCGUCUGCCCCACGCAGCCCGCAGCCCGGUCCCCCAGAGCGCUCAGUCAGAAUCCGAGAGCAGCGUGGCGGUGCCCCCGUGUCGCCACAGGGCUGAGGACAGAGGACCCCGCUCCCCUGUCUCCCCAGCCAGGACUUCCCAGGCUCUCCCUCUGUUCCCAGCACCUGGACAGAGCUUUGCACACAAGGGAGUCUCCCGGUCUCAUGUCAGGCUCUGAGUUCAUCCAGCCUCCCAAAAUCCAUGUUGAUACGAACGUUUUCUCCCACAACUGAUUGGCUGGACUUUUGUCUCAGGGCAGAGAGAGGCCUCCAGUCCAAAACAGCAGGAUCAGGUCUGGAGCUGACUCAACCCCAGCCCCUUCCUAAUGCACGACCCAGACCCAGUCCCCCAGCCUCCAGGAUGGGACCUUGACCUCCUGUCCCCUCCCGUGUUCCUGCCACUACUCCUGCAGAUGGAGGCUGCUCAUCCCGGGAAUCAGUCUGUGAGCUCCAACCUUGGGGCCUGAGGACAGCAGCCCCCUGGGACCUCAGUCCGGGAAGAAGGGAGGCCCCAGACAGCAGAAGGGAGAUGAAAUGGAUCAUAAGAAAAGAAGGAGUCAUACCCAACACUAAAACUGACCUUUAUGAUACUCAGGAAUGUCCUGAUGUCAGCGGAGAUGAAGGGAAACCAGAAAGUCAGGAGUCAGAGGAAAGAGUAGUUUAUCUUAAUUCAUAUCAUACAUGUUUCCUGGGGGAAAAAAAAAAGGAAAAAUUCCUCUGGGAAAAGCAUCAAAAUCAUCAGGAAGUCUUCCACACAGAAAUGACUUCAUUAAUUUGAUUCCUGUCAUUCUUUCUUUUAAUUUAUAUAUUACUAUCCAUAGAGAGUUCUAUCCUGUGGGUUUUUUAUUUAAUUUUUGUUUGGUUGGUUUUUUGAAAGACAGUGAGACCUUGUCUCAAACAAACAAACCAACCUUACAGGCUGCAGUGCAGUGGCGCAAUCAUUGCUCACUGCAGCCUUGACCUCCCUGUCUGAAGCAAUCCUCCAGCCUCGGCCUCCUGAGCAGCUGAAACUACAGGAACAUGCCAUGCCCAACUAAUUUGUUUUAAAUUUUUUUGUAGAGAUGAGGUAUCACUAUGUUGCUGAGGCUGUUCUCAAACUCCCAGGUUCAAACAGUUCACCCACCUUGGCUCUCCGAAAUGCUGGGAUUACCGGCUGAGCCACACACCCAGCCUCUAUCCUGUGUUUUGAUUCAUCAUCAUCUCCUAAGCCCUUUCCCAGCACCGACAGUCUACUAAACAUGCCGUGAUUAAAUUAUAUCUCUAUACCUUGAUAUAAACAAAAAAUUAUAUAAGCAGUAUAGAUAAAUAUGAAAAAGUAAAAUUACUGCCAAAGUUAUUAGGAGGAUAUCCUAAAAAUAUUUGAAUAGGAAAAUCUUUCUUUUUUCUUUCUUUUUUUUUUUUUUUUUUUUUGUCAGGUUCUCAUUCUGUCACUCAGGCUGAAUUACAGUGGCCCGAUCAUGGCUCACCGCAGCCUCGACCUCUCAAGGCUCAGGUGAUCCUCUCGUCUCAGCCCCCUGAGUAGCUGGGACAACAGGUGUGUGAGACAACACCCAGCUCAUUUUUGUAUUUUUAGUAGAGAUGGGGUUUUGCCCUGUUACCCAGGCUGGUCUCAAACUUCUAGGUUCAAAUGAUCCACCCACCUCAGCCCCCCAAAGUGCUGGGAUUAUAGGCAUGUGCCACUGUGCCAGCCUCUUUCUUCUUUUUUUUUUUUUUUAACACCUGCUGGAAUGGAAAGUAUUUCUUUUUUUUUUUUUUUUUUUUGAGACGGAGUCUCGCUCUGCCGCCCAGGCUGGAGUGCAGUGGCCAGAUCUCAGCUCACUGCAAGCUCUGCCUCCCGGGUUCACGCCAUUCUCCUGCCUCAGCCUCCUGAGUAGCUGGGACUACAGGCGCCCGCCACCUCGCCCGGCUAGUUUUUUGUAUUUUUUUAGUAGAGACGGGGUUUCACCGUGUCAGCCAGGAUGGUCUCGAUCUCCUGACCUCGUGAUCCGCCCGUCUCGGCCUCCCAAAGUGCUGGGAUUACAGGCUUGAGCCACCGCGCCCGGCCUGGAAAGUAUUUCUUAAAUGAGACACAAAUGUAUCAAAUUGAAAAUGUUUAAACUUCGGAGGACUUAUAUAUAUAUACAGUCAUUCUUUGCUUAACGGUGAGAUAGCUUCUGAGAAAUGAGUCCUUAGGUGAUUUUGUCAUGUGUGGACAUCACAGAGUGUCCUCACACGAACCUAGAUGGUAUAACCUACUUCACACCUAGGCUACAUGAUGAGCCCAUUGCUCUUAGGCUGCAAAUUACAUAGCAGGUUACUGUAUGGAACACUGCAGCCAAUUCUAACACAAUGGUAAGUAUUUGUGGAUCUAAGCAUGUGUAAACAGAGAAAAGGUACAGUAAAAAUGUGGUUAAAAAAAGAUUUUUUAAAUGG